Molecule: transfer RNA, 73 nt
Filed under: Oreochromis niloticus (Nile tilapia)
Lineage: Eukaryota; Metazoa; Chordata; Actinopteri; Cichliformes; Cichlidae
Also listed under: 1 other name
Rfam family: tRNA
About the family: Transfer RNA (tRNA) molecules are approximately 80 nucleotides in length. Their secondary structure includes four short double-helical elements and three loops (D, anti-codon, and T loops). Further hydrogen bonds mediate the characteristic L-shaped molecular structure. tRNAs have two regions of fundamental functional importance: the anti-codon, which is responsible for specific mRNA codon recognition, and the 3' end, to which the tRNAs corresponding amino acid is attached (by aminoacyl-tRNA synthetases). tRNAs cope with the degeneracy of the genetic code in two manners: having more than one tRNA (with a specific anti-codon) for a particular amino acid; and 'wobble' base-pairing, i.e. permitting non-standard base-pairing at the 3rd anti-codon position.
Source: Rfam by way of RNAcentral
GCCUGAGUAGCUCAGCUGGGAGGGCAUCAGCCUUUUAAUCUGAGGGUCUGGGCUUCAAGUCCCUGUUCAGGCU